RNAcentral lists this ribosomal RNA (540 nucleotides) under uncultured bacterium. RNAcentral's name for it is "bacterial SSU rRNA". It matches the Rfam family "Bacterial small subunit ribosomal RNA", at positions 972 to 1509 of the family's 1533-position model. The record is from RNAcentral.
CCCUUGGCCUUGACAUACUAAGAACUUUCCAGAGAUGGAUUGGUGCCUUUCGGGAACUUAGAUACAGGUGCUGCAUGGCUGUCGUCAGCUCGUGUCGUGAGAUGUUGGGUUAAGUCCCGCAACGAGCGCAACCCUUUUUCCUUAUUUGCCAGCGGGUAAUGCCGGGAACUUUAAGGAUACUGCCAGUGACAAACUGGAGGAAGGCGGGGACGACGUCAAGUCAUCAUGGCCCUUACGGCCAGGGCUACACACGUGCUACAAUGGUCGGUACAAAGGGUUGCUACCUCGCGAGAGGAUGCUAAUCUCAAAAAGCCGAUCGUAGUCCGGAUCGCAGUCUGCAACUCGACUGCGUGAAGUCGGAAUCGCUAGUAAUCGCGGAUCAGAAUGCCGCGGUGAAUACGUUCCCGGGCCUUGUACACACCGCCCGUCACACCAUGGGAGUUUGUUGCACCAGAAGUAGGUAGUCUAACCGCAAGGAGGACGCUUACCACGGUGUGGCCGAUGACUGGGGUGAAGUCGUAACAAGGUAAGCGUAGAUGA